RNAcentral lists this ribosomal RNA (503 nucleotides) under uncultured bacterium. RNAcentral describes it as "SSU rRNA". It matches the Rfam family "Bacterial small subunit ribosomal RNA", at positions 26 to 518 of the family's 1533-position model. The record is from RNAcentral.
AGGACGAACGCUGGCGGCGUGCCUAACACAUGCAAGUCGAGCGGAAAGGCCUCCUUCGGGAGGUACUCGAGCGGCGAACGGGUGAGUAACACGUGGGCAACCAACCCCUCACAUCGGGAUACCCCGGGGAAACUCGGAUCAAUACCGGAUAAUGCGCGACGCUGUUGGGCGUCGCACCAAAGGUAGCUUCGGCCUCUGGUGAGGGACGGGCCCGCGGCCCAUUAGCUUGUUGGUGGGGUAAUGGCCUACCAAGGCAACGAUGGGUAGCUGGUCUGAGAGGAUGAUCAGCCACACUGGGACUGAGAUACGGCCCAGACUCCUACGGGAGGCAGCAGUGGGGAAUAUUGCGCAAUGGGCGGAAGCCUGACGCAGCAACGCCGCGUGCGGGAGGAAGGCCUUGGGUCGUAAACCGCUUUCAGGGGGGACGAAGCCACCAGGGUUAAUAGCCCAUGGGGUGACGGUACUCCCAGAAGAGCCCCGGCUAACUACGUGCCAGCAGCCGC